This 442-nucleotide ribosomal RNA is filed under the name uncultured bacterium. RNAcentral describes it as "bacterial SSU rRNA". It matches the Rfam family "Bacterial small subunit ribosomal RNA", at positions 952 to 1393 of the family's 1533-position model. The record is from RNAcentral.
CGGGGGGAACGCGAAGAACCUUACCAAGGCUUGACAUGCAUCUCUAAGCGCGUGAAAGCGCGUGACCCUUCGGGGGAUUUGCACAGGUGCUGCAUGGCCGUCGUCAGCUCGUGUCGUGAGAUGUUGGGUUAAGUCCCGCAACGAGCGCAACCCUUGUGAACAGUUGCCAGCGCGUCAUGGCGGGAACUCUGUUCAGACUGCCCAGAUCAACUGGGAGGAAGGUGGGGACGACGUCAGGUCAGUAUGGCCCUUACGCCUUGGGCUGCACACGUACUACAAUGCCCAGUACAAUGAGAACCGAUGCCGCGAGGUGGAGGAAAUCUGCAAAACUGGGCCCAGUUCGGAUUGGAGGCUGCAACUCGCCUCCAUGAAGUUGGAAUCGCUAGUAAUGGCGCAUCAUCUACGGCGCCGUGAAUACGUUCCCGGGUCUUGUACACACCGA